UCAACUGGAGACCUCCAAGAAAACUCGGGGUACAUCUGGUUGGUGUCUUGAUCGCUACAAAUGCUAGUGACCAAGACAGCUGAUCUGCAGAUGACUUGUCUCCUCCACCCACGGACCAGAUGCUGUUGUAGCCCCUGGCCUGCUGCUGUGGGAGCCAGUGCCACUGAUCUCAGCCAAGAGGCUAAGAAGUGAUGAGCACACUCACGAGCCAUCAGGACGCAGAAGGAAGACUGCUACUUAACCUCAGAACCCACUUCGGACUGCUAUGUGUCUUGAAAAUUUCAGCAAUGGAUGUAAGGAUAUUUCCUGAUGUCAUGGAAACUGGAAAAGCCAGUGGAAACCAGGCAGACACAGUUCAUAAGGAGAAUACAGUGGAUCUCUCAAACAACCCCUGACAUCCCUCUACCACGAUGUCAAGACAAAGGAGUCCACUGAAAUGUACUUUUUAUUAUUCACCAGAUGGUCAGGCUACAGGGACACAGCCAUUCUGUCCCUCUGCUCAGGACAACUGUGAAAAGCUCCUCUCUGGGAGACUGGCAACAUUAGAAAG
Molecule: long non-coding RNA, 550 nt
Filed under: Mus caroli (Ryukyu mouse)
Lineage: Eukaryota; Metazoa; Chordata; Mammalia; Rodentia; Muridae
Description: lncRNA (MGP_CAROLIEiJ_G0013797.1)
Source: RNAcentral